UACGUAGGGGGCGAGCGUUGUCCGGAUUUACUGGGCGUAAAGGGUGAGUAGGCGGUAAUAUGUGUCAGAUGUAAAAGGCUAAGGCUUAACCAUAGUUAGCAUUUGAAACUGUAUUACUUGAGUGCAGGAGAGGUAAGUGGAAUUCCUAGUGUAGCGGUGAAAUGCGUAGAUAUUAGGAGGAACACCAGUGGCGAAGGCGACUUACUGGACUGUAACUGACGCUGAGUCACGAAAGCGUGGGUAGCAAACAGGAUUAGAUACCCUGGUAGUCCACGCCGUAAACGAUGAGUGCUAGGUGUUGGGUAGCGAUACUCAGUGCCGAAGUAAACACAAUAAGCACUCCGCCUGGGGAGUACGGUCGCAAGACUGAAACUCAAAGGAAUUGACGGGGACCCGCACAAGCAGCGGAGCAUGUGGUUUAAUUCGAAGCAACGCGAAGAACCUUACCAAGGCUUGACAUCCCCCUGACCAGUGCAGAGAUGCACUCUUCUCUUCGGAGACAAGGGUGACAGGUGGUGCAUGGUUGUCGUCAGCUCGUGUCGUGAGAUGUUGGGUUAAGUCCCGCAACGAGCGCAACCCUUAUCCUUAGUUGCCAGCAGGUAAAGCUGGGCACUCUAAGGAGACUGCCGAUGAUAAAUCGGAGGAAGGUGGGGAUGACGUCAAAUCAUCAUGCCCCUUAUGUCUUGGGCUACACACGUGCUACAAUGGUCGGUACAAAGGGAAGCGAAGUAGAGAUAUGGAGCAAAUCCCAAUAAACCGAUCCCAGUUCGGAUUGUAGGCUGCAACUCGCCUACAUGAAGUCGGAGUUGCUAGUAAUCGCGAAUCAGAACGUCGCGGUGAAUGCGUUCCCGGGUCUUGUACACACCGCCCGUCACACCAUGGAAGUUGGUAAUACCCGAAGUCGCUGAGCUAACCGCAAGGAGGCAGGCGCCGAAGGUAGGAUCAAUGACUGGGGUG
RNAcentral lists this ribosomal RNA (957 nucleotides) under uncultured Clostridium sp. Its description in RNAcentral is "bacterial SSU rRNA". It matches the Rfam family "Bacterial small subunit ribosomal RNA", at positions 524 to 1482 of the family's 1533-position model. The record is from RNAcentral. Lineage: Bacteria; Bacillati; Bacillota; Clostridia; Eubacteriales; Clostridiaceae.